GGCCAGUCCAAAUGCAGGGGUGUUUUCAACUAAUUGAUCACAACCAGUUACAGAUUUCUUUGUUCCUUCUCCACUUCUACUGCUUUACUUGACUACUGUUUA
This is an unclassified non-coding RNA of Otolemur garnettii (small-eared galago), 102 nucleotides long. It matches the Rfam family "Y RNA". Rfam says of the family: Y RNAs are components of the Ro ribonucleoprotein particle (Ro RNP), in association with Ro60 and La proteins. The Y RNAs and Ro60 and La proteins are well conserved, but the function of the Ro RNP is not known. In humans the RNA component can be one of four small RNAs -- hY1, hY3, hY4 and hY5. The record is from Ensembl. Lineage: Eukaryota; Metazoa; Chordata; Mammalia; Primates; Galagidae.